RNAcentral lists this long non-coding RNA (443 nucleotides) under Phoenix dactylifera (date palm). Its description in RNAcentral is "long non-coding RNA (PDAC_LNC000275)". The record is from RNAcentral. Lineage: Eukaryota; Viridiplantae; Streptophyta; Magnoliopsida; Arecales; Arecaceae.
CAAUGAUAAAUGUGUCGAAGAUCCAUCGACCGCCAACCGCCACAAACCUGGAGUAGUGAUCUCUGAUGAUAAAGCCCACACCUCCUCUCGUCUCGCCCAGCAUCAAACUUUAGUCAAUUGCACAAUUGCAAUUACUAUUUUGGAGCGUUUAGUCUCUGAUCAAUAGCUCUACCUCAAUCUUUGACAUGAGACACGAGACUCCCUUUCCAGAAUUUGGAGACAAUUAAUCACAAAACAUAGGCCAAAGAUCCGCACACAAACAAAAUCUUCAUUCAACAAAGCAUCAUAUAAUAAAUCCCGAUGACAACUCCAACGUAGAAAAUUAAUAGCCUUAGCCGGCAGCAACACCUGGCUGGAACAAAGAGGACACGACUAAUUAGGAGUCUAACCAUUGAUUAAUAAGCUUCGUGUGCGUAUUAUGGUUAAAACCAACGUGACUCAAA